CGCCCCCUGCAGUGUUCGAUAGCGACCUGGAUACCUUUCGACCCUAAAUCAUAACCUCGGGGUCGCGCACUGUCGGCAGCAUUUGAGCAGGGCCGUAAUCUCGCCGAGCGAGACUGCGGAAAGCCUGUUGCUGCCACGGCUGACCCCACCUGUUGCUCUGGUUCGAGAGCGACGGCUCGCACCGGCACAGGCGGGGGGCGC
RNAcentral lists this non-coding RNA (201 nucleotides) under Gammaproteobacteria bacterium. RNAcentral's name for it is "6S RNA". It matches the Rfam family "6S / SsrS RNA". Rfam says of the family: E. coli 6S RNA was the first non coding RNA to be sequenced, but its function was unknown until recently. The record is from RNAcentral. Lineage: Bacteria; Pseudomonadati; Pseudomonadota; Gammaproteobacteria.